Molecule: ribosomal RNA, 253 nt
Filed under: uncultured bacterium
Lineage: Bacteria
Description: partial 16S ribosomal RNA
Rfam family: Bacterial small subunit ribosomal RNA
Source: RNAcentral
UACGUAGGGGGCAAGCGUUGUCCGGAUUUAUUGGGCGUAAAGAGCGUGUAGGCGGCCAAGCAGGUCAGCUGUGAAAACUCGAGGCUCAACCUCGAGACGUCGGUUGAAACCGCUUGGCUAGAGUCCGGAAGAGGAGAGUGGAAUUCCUGGUGUAGCGGUGAAAUGCGCAGAUAUCAGGAAGAACACCUAUGGCGAAGGCAGCUCUCUGGGACGGUACUGACGCUGAGACGCGAAAGCGUGGGGAGCGAACAGG